RNAcentral lists this ribosomal RNA (504 nucleotides) under uncultured bacterium. RNAcentral describes it as "partial 16S ribosomal RNA". It matches the Rfam family "Bacterial small subunit ribosomal RNA", at positions 29 to 523 of the family's 1533-position model. The record is from RNAcentral.
AUUGAACGCUGGCGGCACGCCUAACACAUGCAAGUCGAGCGGUAACAUGAUUUGUAGCAAUACAAAUUGAUGACGAGCGGCGGACGGGUGAGGAACACGUAGGAAUCUGCCCAGAAGCGGGGGACAACCAAGGGAAACUUUGGCUAAUACCGCGUAAUCUCGCAAGAGUAAAGCUGCCCGCAAGGGUGGCGCUUCUGGAGGAGCCUGCGUCCGAUUAGCUAGUUGGUGAGGUAAGAGCUCACCAAGGCGAUGAUCGGUAACUGGUCUGAGAGGACGACCAGUCACACUGGGACUGAGACACGGCCCAGAAUCCUACGGGAGGCAGCAGUGGGGAAUAUUGGACAAUGGGGGCAACCCUGAUCCAGCGGUGCCGCGUGGGUGAAGAAGGCCUUCGGGUUGUAAAGCCCUUUAGGUUGGGAAGAAGUGUACGGGGCGAAUAACCCCGUAUGUUGACGGUACCGACAAAAUAAGCACCGGCAAACUCUGUGCCAGCCGCCGCCGUAA